UACGUAGGGCGCAAGCGUUAUCCGGAAUUAUUGGGCGUAAAGAGCUCGUAGGCGGUUUGCCGCGUCUGCCGUGAAAGUCCGGGGCUCAACCCCGGAUCUGCGGUGGGUACGGGCAGACUAGAGUGAUGUAGGGGAGACUGGAAUUCCUGGUGUAGCGGUGAAAUGCGCAGAUAUCAGGAGGAACACCGAUGGCGAAGGCAGGUCUCUGGGCAUUAACUGACGCUGAGGAGCGAAAGCAUGGGGAGCGAACAGG
Molecule: ribosomal RNA, 253 nt
Filed under: uncultured bacterium
Lineage: Bacteria
Description: partial 16S ribosomal RNA
Rfam family: Bacterial small subunit ribosomal RNA
Source: RNAcentral